Molecule: RNA transcript, 6558 nt
Organism: Corythoichthys intestinalis (scribbled pipefish)
Lineage: Eukaryota; Metazoa; Chordata; Actinopteri; Syngnathiformes; Syngnathidae
Gene name: zinc finger protein 75A-like
Exons: 3
Source: RefSeq, a predicted model, not a curated record
GGAGUCAAUUGUGGCUAGGGAAGGACUAUCUUAUCUAUUGUUUUACCAAAACAACCAGAGACUUGAGCUUGAGAUGACCCACUUUAAAACUUUGCUCUCUCCUAAACUUUAACCCUUUAGGCAAGGCAUCUCAAACCUAAAUUAGCUUCUAUAGACUUCAAAUUAAACGGAACUACAAAAUAAAUCAAAAAUCAGUUUUACAAAAGUGCAAAAGAAAAAGAAAAUAUAUUAAAUGAAAUUAUUUCCUUCAAAGGUCAACAAUGAAAAUCAAUUAUCCAAGUUAAAAUAAAAAUUAAUAGAACUUACAAUUUAUCUCAUUCUGGGAACGUUAUCUCCCAUGUAAAUUUGGAAUCGUGAUAAGUGUUAUGAAAGAACAAUUUGCCCAUUUUUUAACCCCAAAGAUGUUCUAGUUACAUCAAGGAAUGUUACUAUUGUCAAUUCGCUCAAAUAUUUACUGUUCUUAUCAGAGGUUGCGCUAGACAUUUUCGUUGUCUGUCAUUUUGACUGACAGGGUCAUAAAAAUCCGGUCAUAGUCUAUUUUUACCCGUCACUUAAAUUUUUUAAAUGAUGAUUUUUUUAAUGACAUAUUUAAUAGUAUUUAGUUUUCAUUCAUUUUUAAUUAAUAUUGUAACACUUGCUUGGCGGCGAAAAAUUAGACACGGAAGUCGUGGUAUUUUUCUCCCUUUUUACUCUGCUUCCCAACAACUCCGCCCCCAAAGAAAAAGAGGCAACGAUAUAGACCCCAAUCACCAACGUCACACAAUGAUCUUAAUUGUGGUUGUCAGCCCAAAAUCUUCUAAAUAUGUAUUAAUGCAUCUUACCAGAUAUAAAAAGACUACUACAUAGUCUGUGGUGAUCGUUUGGUGCCCAGACUUCUUGUCGAAUUACAGCAGUCCAUCUCGCUCUCAUCUUCACCAUUUUGAUUAUUAAUAUUAACGAGCAGAAAAACACGCCGUAAUAGGAGGCAUGUACGUAGCGGUAAUGUGUAAAUAUGACAAGCUGACACACAAUAUGGCGGCUCCGGUCAGGGGGGCGGAGUUGUGACGUCAUGUGAUUGGGUGAUUGGAUGACGCGCUGGCACACCGGGUGCACCAAUAAGAACCUCGCGUUGAUGUGUCAAUCACGGUGCCGCCGCCAAACCCCGGUGACGCUACAAUAUUCUGACAGAAGAGCCAACGACGUCAUGCAUUAAGAGAGACAAUAGCUAAUAUGCUGACUCGCCACCCUGUGGUCUGGGGUGUGAAUUGCAACCUGUCAAAAUGACGGACGGAUUUCAGUUUUUUCCGUCAACGUUUUAAAAAACGGGUCAACGACGGAAAAUAUCCAGUUAACGCGACCCCUGGGGCUUAUAUUACAUUAUUACAGGUUUUAUAAUUGCUCCCUAUUUAAUAAUUUGUCAAUUAAAUUUGGUCGUGCCUGUCUCGACAAAGUUGGCCACUUAUUUCCUACUAUAUUGUCAGAACCGCAAAAAUUAGGUCAAUUAUAAUUGUCUUCUUAUAUCAGAACUAAAAUCGAUAGAUAUACCGUUGUUCUUUGGAUCACAGCUGAAUUCACUACAGCCAAUUCUAUCAACACGUGAUCCAAAAGUGACACCUUCCCCAUAUUGAUCAUGCUCAAAUCCCUUAAAAAUUAAAUUAAAUUUCAAACUAUUCGUUAUACUAAGAGCGGGCCAUGAUGCCAAUUUCCCCGUUAUUCACUUUGAGGUUUUCUUUGCUUUUUUUGCUUCCUUUAGGAGACUCUCCACAUUAUUUUGUGAGUCAAAACAUUGGCUCGAGAAAUCUUAUCUAAUCUAGGACUUUACCAAGCAUCCAGGGCCUUCAGCCUUCUCAUUUUCUUAACCUGCAUUAAAAAGAAGUAUCAGUUUUUCACCAUCCUCUUAAAAGGUUUAUCAAGCUAUCAUUUAUGUUAUAUCUCUUCACAAACCUUAUUUCAAUAUUUGGUCAAGACUUACGAAACUACUGGUAUUCUUUUUGGUUCUGGGUAUCUGGCCGGAGCUGGAAUUGCCAAUACCGGGUGAUCAAGCCGACGCCGACACGCCAGCCCCGCCGAAUAAAACCAAUUUCAUUGUUUUUCAGCAAUUUGAGCGGCUUUUGUAAUUUUAAAGCAUUUUAUCAUUUCCAACCAAGCUCACGAGUUUAUUUUCAUCUAAUGCCGCCUCUUUUUCACUUGAUUAUCUUUUCAUCUCGAGUUCAAUUUUAAUAUUCCCUUUUUUUUUCAUUAGACUGUCAAUUUGAUAUCACCAAUAGUAAAAUGUUCUUGAAUGUUGGCAGCCCUCCUUGCUUUGCUUGGCCAGAACAAGAGCAAGGGGGGCCUCACGCCUAUCGGCCCGCGCACCUCAUUUCGACCUAAAUUUUAUCUUAAAUAGUUAAACAAGGACUGGAAAAUUCCCAACUUCAAUUCUAACCUCCCCUUAUAAUUAAUUUUGGCAAAAACCCAGCGGAUGCCGUCAAGGACCCCAUGUUGCAAAUAGGGGCCACCGACGGCCCGCACUCCUUAUUUUGAACACAGUGUUCUUUUCUAAUCAGAUUGCGCAAAUCCAGGUGCCAUGCCAACGGCUGUCUCCCAGAACGUUAACAGGGGCGCUUCCUAUUUUUUCGGCUUUAUUUUGAACAACGCUAAGCAAAACAAAAAUGUCCAUUUACUUUAACAAAAGAAUACACGACACCAUAGCAACUUAACAUUGAAACAACAACAGUGGCAGUCCACCCCGACUUCCCCAUUUUAAUUGUCACUUUCCUUGUCAUGGCCAAUUUUAGUGCAUUUGUACAACCAUCCAUCCCGGGUCCCUAACCUAUAUUUUCGCUGGGCGAAUGUAUACUCAUGGCCAUGUUUUGCUACCACAGCAAAAUUAUUCCUGCUUACCACAAGCAGUUUACAGCUUCCCGCAAGCUGAGUGUCAGGUAUUAAUGUUUCAUCAUCUUGCAUGUGUAAUGUUUCAGCUAGUAAUGUUUCAUCAUAUUGCUUCACACUCAUGCAUCACAAAGCCCUUUAUUAUGUCAUAAAGAAUAACUGAGAACACUAUAUAAGCCUCGAGCAGACAACAUCCAGUGUCAGGUCGUCAGCGAUUCAACAUAUGUCUUUUUCCCUUGCCUGUCAACAUCAAUAAAAUCCCGUGUCUGCGAUACGCAACUGGGUCCUCCGUCUCGUACAUGACAGUACGACCUGACCAGAAUGGAACCAGCGUAUCAACCCUCUGACCUGGACCGUUUUCACCAAACGGAAGAGGAGGUCUUCCGGAUGUCUGGUGACAUCGCAUCGUUAAUCCAGAUCAAACACCAGCGACAGCAAGAUCAACUGACUCAGAAGCCCCAGUUCCCGUAAACCCAGCCUUGGCUAUUGACGCUCCCGAGCCCAAGAUUGGAAACCCUGAACGCUUUAACGGCGAUCCAACUCAGGGGCCAAAGUGGGAUACGCCAUCACCCACUUGACUGGUCGGGCUCGGCUUUGGGGGACAGCGGAAUUUGAGAGGCAAACACCUCUGUCAUGUAUUAAUGUUUCAGCCAUUAAUGUUUCAUCAUCUUGCAUGUGUCAUGUUUCAGCUAGUAAUGUUUCAUCAUAUUGCUUCACACUCAUGCAUCACAAAGCCCUUUGUUAUGUCAUAAAGAAUAACUGAGAACACUAUAUAAGCCUCGAGCAGACAACAUCCAGUGUUAGGUCGUCAGCGAUUCAACAUAUGUCUGCAUGUCAACUUGCCAUUAUCGCUUGACCUGAUAGUUUUCCCUUGCCUGUCAACAUCAAUAAAAUCCUGUGUCUGCGAUACGCAACUGGGUCCUCCACAUGACACCGAGGGCCUUUUGCUGUUGGGCGUCACUCCAACAGCGGCCUUAACCUAUACAUUUUUCUAUCUUUUUUUGGGGGGAGGGACCACUCCCUAGGGCUUCCAUUACCCCAUUUCGGGGGAGCCCAGCUUCAACCUCCGCCUCGUCAGACGAGAGGGGGGGCCGCCGCGUCCCCAGUCCCUGUGAAUUUGAGCCGGCCUGACGCUGCCCGCCAGUCAAACCACUUCCUUUUGGACAAGUAUAAAUGCCUAUCCAUAUAUAUGUAUCUUAUAUGUAUACAUAUAAAUGAAUACACAUAUUGCGUGUAACAGCCCCCUCAUCAGAUCGGACCCAACAAUCACAAUGAGCUUGCAAUUGCCAAUUCCUCGCAAUCUGACUACAACUCGGGGGUACCCGCCAGCUAAUCUAACUUACAUAUACAUACCCAUUCAUAUCCCAUACAUAUAUAUUUUAGGGCUGUCAAACGAUUAAAAAUUUUAAUCGAGUUAAUUACAGCUUACAAUAAAUUAAUCGCACUAUAAACCAUCUAUAAAAUAUGCCAGAUUUUUCUGUAAAAAUCAGCCUAUUCUCACGAAAGUUUGAAAAACUUGAAGAGCACCACUCUAAGCAACAUUACCCAGUGUGACCCUUCCAAUUUUCUAAAAUGGCGACAAUCAAUCAAAAAAAAAAAGUUGACUGUGAUGGCCGACGCUUCAAGGAUAGGUGGAUAUUGGACUAUUUCUUCAAUAAAACACGCAGCAACUGUAUCUGCUUCAUUUGCAAAGAGAGUCGCUGUUUUCAAAGAGUUCGAUGUGACACGAUAAUGAUAUUACCUGACAAGACACGCUGACAUGUACGACAACAUUACAGGGAAGAUACGUAGCGAGAAAUUUAGCAACUUGAAGCUAUUUUAAUUUCACAGCAGCAGUAUUUCGCGAGAGCCCGAGUGUCUAAAGAGAACGCCACAAAGACGAGAUUGUUGAAAUUAUGAAUUAAAAAAAUUAUAAAGCAAAUGUGACACACAGAAAGGCUUGUUAAAAUUUGUUUAAAUACAUUGUUCUAUGUAAAUCAGACAAGGUAGCCCCCCGCAUUUUUACCACACCAAAUCUGGCCCCCUUUGCAAAAGGUUUGGACACACCUGUUUAACUUCUUUCACUUGGUACUAGCUAAAUAUUAUUCAAAAAAUAAUGAUGGUGGAAGAAAUAAGCAUCUUGAAUUUGAAACUGUAUAUUGUCGGCGAUUAGCCUCCCAAUGAUCUUAAUUGUGGUUGUCAGCCCAAAACCCUCUAUAUAUUAAAUGCAUCUUACCAGAUAUAAAAUGACUACUACAUAAUCUGUAGUGAUCAUUUGGUGCCCAGUUUUCUCGUCGAAUUGAAGCAGUGCAUCUCGCUUUCCUCACCGGGUCUCUCGGAAUACGGUAGAACUUCAAGUCUCUUCGUCUAUCUUCUCUGUUAUUGCAACCAACCGCCACGCAUGCCUUCACCAUUUUGAUUAUUAAUGUUAAUGAGCAGAAAAACACGGCAUAAUAGGAGGAAUUUACGUAGCGGUAAUGCUUAAACCCAACGAGCUGACGGACAAUAUGGCGCGGAGGCGUGGUUGUGACUAGGGAUGGGAAUUGAUAGGAUUUUUACGAUUCCGAUUCCAUUAUCGAUGUUGGUUAACGAUUCGAUUCUUUAUCGAUUCUCUUAUCGAUUCUAAUUUGGGGGGGGGGGAGAACAAACAUUUAGAUUGGCAUUGAGUUUGUUUAAUCAGAAGUCACAACCUUAAAAACUCACAACAAGGUCAAAAGAAGCCCAACGCCUCAAUAUUAACUGUGGCAAAAAGUGGCAAAUGCACAAGAAUGUUUAACAUUUUACUGAAACAUUUUUCUAAUAGAAAUAAAAAAUAUUGGUAUAUAUUAGCAUAUAGAUAGUUGGUCUGCCGUUUGCAAUAUGUGUUAAACUUGCAGGGGUCCCCAAACUUUUUCCAGUGAGGGCUGCAUAACUUUUCCCUUCUCUGAGGGGCCGGGGUCAGUUUGUGACAGAAAAAGUGUGACGAUUGCAGGAGUGCCUGAAUGUAAAAAAAUUAUUGUUUUUCAGGAAGCCACAAUCAAAUAACCCUUUCUGGAUAUUUCACGGAACAAAAGUAAAUAAAAUAAAAAUAAUAAUAUAAUAUAAUAAUAAUUAAUAAUAAUAGCACUAUUAAUCAAAUAGAUAAUAACCAAAUAACCCUCUCUGAGUUCUUCACAGAAAAAGGCCAGAAAAUAAAUAACACUAUUGAGAAAAAAAAAAAAAAAAAUCAAAAUGCUCUCUGGUAUUGUUCAGGGGGCCGGACUGAAUGUUGGGGGGCCGUAGUUUGGGGACCCCUGUUAAAGUAUUAUUUACCAGUAUAUUGAAGUGCAUGCCUUUUAGUUUUUAUGGUGCUUUCACGCUCAAGUGGGGGCGCCCUUGCGCUUCCUCACGUGAAGAAGACGCGAGAGAAAGCGUCAGAGAGUUAGUGAGAGAGGGAAGCACUGCUACGACCCUAUGUUCUUUGUUAAUGCUUGUAAAAUAUCUACAGAGGCAACGCCUGUAUGUAUCAUCUUUUGUGUUGUUGUUGUUGUGUGUUUCCACUCGCGAUCGGACACUUAAAUCCAGUUGUGUAGUGGUUUGAACGAUGUGCUAAUGCUAGCGAACGCAUGCUAACUGUUUUGUUAUUACAGCUAAUCAUCGCUGAUUUACGUUGAUGCAAACCUGUUUGUUACUGGGGACGAAAUUAUUUGUUUCAUUUCUAUUUUUAGUUUCACUCUUCAAGUGAUGGUUGAAUAAAGUCAGCAAAUUAUA